This 51-nucleotide transfer RNA is filed under the name Eurycercus lamellatus. RNAcentral's name for it is "tRNA-Val". The record is from RNAcentral. Lineage: Eukaryota; Metazoa; Arthropoda; Branchiopoda; Diplostraca; Eurycercidae.
UAACUUAGAGCUUGAUUAGUUAAGCAUUUCAUUUACACUGAAUUGAUACUC